Molecule: RNA transcript, 2110 nt
Organism: Phragmites australis (common reed)
Lineage: Eukaryota; Viridiplantae; Streptophyta; Magnoliopsida; Poales; Poaceae
Gene name: CBL-interacting protein kinase 8
Exons: 15
Source: RefSeq, a predicted model, not a curated record
CUUACGGCCACCAGAAUUUGCUUCCCACGUCGAAAGAGAUAGAGACCGCACCACCAACUCCACGAAACCGGGUCUCUCGCUUCCUUCCAAGCCAACAAAACGAGGCAGUCUCAACUCCCCGUAGAAAUUCCCCAUUCAAAACUAGCUCCCGUGCGGAAUCUCAAGCUCAUCAAUGGUGGCGUCGAGCACCUGAGCUCCACUCCACUCCACUCCACAAGCGCGACGCUACCCUGCACCGGAUUCGCGACUCUUCGCCACCGGAAGGGCGGAGAUGGUGGGGGGAGGCGGCGGGGGCGGGGCGCUGCGGCGGGUGGGGAAGUACGAGGUGGGGCGGACCAUCGGGGAGGGCACCUUCGCCAAGGUCAAGUUUGCGCAGAACACCGAAACGGGGGAGAGCGUCGCAAUGAAGGUGCUCGACCGCUCCUCCAUCCUCAAGCACAAGAUGGCCGAACAGAUUAAGAGAGAGAUAUCCAUAAUGAAGCUUGUGAGGCAUCCCAAUGUGGUCAGGCUACACGAGGUUUUGGCAAGCCGGAAGAAGAUAUUUAUAAUUUUGGAGUUUAUCACUGGUGGUGAGCUAUUUGAUAAAAUUAUUCGUCAUGGGAGACUCAAUGAAGCAGAUGCACGCAGAUACUUUCAGCAGCUUAUUGACGGUGUUGAUUUUUGUCACGGCAAAGGAGUCUACCAUCGAGAUUUAAAGCCCGAAAAUCUCCUCCUUGAUUCCCAAGGUAAUCUUAAAAUUUCAGACUUUGGACUCAGCGCAUGGCCUGCCCAGGGAUCUUCCCUUUUACGUACAACCUGUGGUACCCCGAACUAUGUCGCCCCAGAGGUUCUCAGUCAUAAAGGAUAUAAUGGAGCACUUGCUGAUACCUGGUCAUGUGGAGUUAUUUUAUAUGUCCUUUUGGCAGGUUAUCUUCCAUUUGAUGAAGUGGAUUUGACUACCCUUUAUGAGAAGAUUGAGAGUGCCGAAUAUUCAUUCCCACCUUGGUUUUCAGGUGGUGCAAAGUCACUGAUUCGUAGAAUUCUUGACCCAAAUCCAGAUACACGAAUCAGGAUAGAAGAGAUCAGAAAUGAUGAAUGGUUUAAGAAGAAUUAUGAACCUGUCAAAGAAGUAGAAAAUGAAGAAGUAAAUCUCGAUGAUGUUAACGCAGCGUUCGAUGAUCCUGAGGAAGAUACUGAGCAUACUUUUGACGAUGAAGCAGGUCCUCUGACACUUAAUGCAUUCGACCUAAUCAUUUUGUCUCAAGGAUUGAACCUUGCAGCCCUAUUUGAUCGCAAACAGGACUAUGACAAGCUUCAAAACAGAUUCUUAUCCCGCAAACCGGCAAAGGUUAUCUUGUCAAGUAUGGAGGUUGUUGCGCAGUCUAUGGGGUUUAAGACGCACAUUCGCAAUUAUAAGAUGAGGGUGGAAAAUCUAAAUGCGAACAAGACUAGUCAUCUCACAAUUAUGGUUGAAGUGAGUAUGCUCUCUUUGUGGUCAAGUUUUCGAAGUUGCUCCAUCAAUCUUCAUGGUGGAACUACAAAGAGCAGCUGGAGAUACUUCAGAGUAUAACACGUUCAUAAAUAACUACAGCAGCAAAUUAGAUGAUAUCGUCUGGAAAUUUCCAAUUGAAAAGGGCAAAUCAAGGAUAUCACGAUUAUCAAAGUGCUAAUUGUUCAUCGACAUCUGCCAUCUGUACCAUGCAUAAUCUAAUGUUUUGUGGUAUCGUGGACUUGAUGAGUGAAUGUGCCUGUUAAAGUAUAUCACAAUUGAUCUGCAAUAUUCUAGUCCUAAGAGUUGAUCUUCGAGUAGUAUGCCAUGAUUGCAUAUUGUAGCCCUAAGAGUUGAUCUUCGAGUAGUAUGCCAUGAUUGCAUAUUGGAGUCCCCAUGUACUAAGAGGGCCCGUCCAGUAGAGGUUUCUCUGUACAAAGUUUUCAGCGCUGUUUUAGAUUAUCUGUAGCUCACCUGCCUCCUGGUUUGUUUGGGAAGAAGUGUGUUUCUUGAAUACACCGCUUGAUCUGUAAACUGCCUCAAGAGGUUCUGAUUUCUUUUCAUUUGUACUGCUAUGUUACUAACGUGCAUUAGGAUAAAUGUGUUCAGUCCAGGAUGACGAAAUGUGGCAUUGCACUGUCA